AACGAACGCUGGCGGCAUGCCUAACACAUGCAAGUCGAACGGGAUCCUAGCUUGCUAGGUGAGAGUGGCGGACGGGUGAGUAACACGUGGGAAUCUGCCUUUUGGUUCGGGAUAACCGCGGGAAACUGCGGCUAAUACCGAAUGCCCUCGAGAGAGGAAAGAUUUAUCGCCAGAAGAGGAGCCCGCGUCCGAUUAGGUAGUUGGUGGGGUAAAGGCCUACCAAGCCGACGAUCGGUAGCUGGUCUGAGAGGAUGAUCAGCCAACACUGGGACUGAGAUACGGCCCAGACUCCUACGGGAGGCGAGCAGUGGGGAAUAUUGGACAAUGGGGGCAACCCUGAUCCAGCAAUGCCGCGUGAGUGAUGAAGGCCUUAGGGUGUAAAGCUCUUUUGCCAGGAGAUGAUGACUGUACCUGGAGAAUAAGCCCCGGCUAACUUCGUGCCAGCAG
This 447-nucleotide ribosomal RNA is filed under the name uncultured bacterium. RNAcentral describes it as "bacterial SSU rRNA". It matches the Rfam family "Bacterial small subunit ribosomal RNA", at positions 29 to 514 of the family's 1533-position model. The record is from RNAcentral.